Molecule: non-coding RNA, 72 nt
Organism: Phrynosoma platyrhinos (Desert horned lizard)
Lineage: Eukaryota; Metazoa; Chordata; Lepidosauria; Squamata; Phrynosomatidae
Source: the annotation of a GenBank genome assembly
GCCAGUGUGGUGUAGUGGUUUGAGUGAUAGACUACAACUCCAGAGACCAUGGUUCAAAUCCCCGCUCAACCA